UUAAUUUCCCUGUAAUGCAUUCCAAAAUAGUAAACCAGUAAACCGGCAGUAAACUUAUUUUUCUUAGUAUAAGCCUCCUUUAAUUAGGAGCACCUAAAUAUGAAGUUUAACUUUAACUUAAAAAAUAUCCAAAACAUGUUCACGUUACAGUAUAUAUACAUAAACUAUAAUAGUGCCAUGAAUGGCAAAUUUACAGGGACCUUUUAAAUAGAAAUACAGGCGGGA
Molecule: long non-coding RNA, 225 nt
Filed under: Mytilus galloprovincialis (Mediterranean mussel)
Lineage: Eukaryota; Metazoa; Mollusca; Bivalvia; Mytilida; Mytilidae
Source: RNAcentral